Molecule: small nuclear RNA, 106 nt
Organism: Lynx canadensis (Canada lynx)
Lineage: Eukaryota; Metazoa; Chordata; Mammalia; Carnivora; Felidae
Source: Ensembl
GUGCUCGCUUCAGCAGCACAUACACUAAAAAUUGGAAUGAUUACAGAGAUUACCACAGCCCCUGCCUAAGGAUGGCACACAAAUUCGUGAAGCAUUCCAUAUUUAA